Molecule: ribosomal RNA, 253 nt
Filed under: uncultured bacterium
Lineage: Bacteria
Description: partial 16S ribosomal RNA
Rfam family: Bacterial small subunit ribosomal RNA
Source: RNAcentral
UACGUAGGGUGCAAGCGUUAAUCGGAAUUACUGGGCGUAAAGCGUGCGCAGGCGGUUUUGUAAGUCUGUCGUGAAAGCCCCGGGCUCAACCUGGGAAUUGCGAUGGAGACUGCAAGGCUUGAAUCUGGCAGAGGGGGGUAGAAUUCCACGUGUAGCAGUGAAAUGCGUAGAGAUGUGGAGGAACACCGAUGGCGAAGGCAGCCCCCUGGGUCUAGAUUGACGCUCAUGCACGAAAGCGUGGGGAGCAAACAGG